Molecule: non-coding RNA, 73 nt
Organism: Dipodomys ordii (Ord's kangaroo rat)
Lineage: Eukaryota; Metazoa; Chordata; Mammalia; Rodentia; Heteromyidae
Source: Rfam
GAGACUGUGGCUUAGUGGUAGAGUGCUUGCCUAGGAUGCAUGAAGCCCUGGGUUCGAUUCCUCAGUAAACACA